RNAcentral lists this non-coding RNA (148 nucleotides) under Nomascus leucogenys (northern white-cheeked gibbon). The record is from Rfam by way of RNAcentral. Lineage: Eukaryota; Metazoa; Chordata; Mammalia; Primates; Hylobatidae.
GCUGGGCAUGGUGGCGCGUUCCUGUAGUCCCAGCUACUUGGGAGGCUGAGGCAGGAGAAUCGCUUGAACCCAGGAGGUGGAGGUUGCAGUGAGCCAUGAUUGUGCCACUGCACUCCAACCUGGGCAACAGAGUGAGACUUUGUCUCAA